GCCUUCGUAGUGUAAUGGUCGGCACGCUCGGCGCGUAAGCGAGAGGUCCGAGGUUCGAGUCCCUGCGAGGGCA
This is a non-coding RNA of Stegodyphus mimosarum, 73 nucleotides long. The record is from Rfam. Lineage: Eukaryota; Metazoa; Arthropoda; Arachnida; Araneae; Eresidae.